UACAGAGGCUCCGAGCGUUAAUCGGAAUUACUGGGCGUAAAGCGCACGUACGUGGCGACGUAAGUCGGGUGUGAAAGCCCCGGGCUCAACCUGGGAAUUGCAUUCGAGACUGCAUUGCUGGAGUACGGAAGAGGAGGGCGGAAUUCCCGGUGUAGCGGUGAAAUGCGUAGAUAUCGGGAGGAACAUCAGUGGCGAAGGCGGCCCUCUGGUCCAGUACUGACACUCAAGUGCGAAAGCGUGGGGAGCAAACAGG
RNAcentral lists this ribosomal RNA (253 nucleotides) under uncultured bacterium. RNAcentral's name for it is "partial 16S ribosomal RNA". It matches the Rfam family "Bacterial small subunit ribosomal RNA", at positions 524 to 776 of the family's 1533-position model. The record is from RNAcentral.